CGAGGGCGGGGAUGGGGCGGGGCGGGACUAGUGCGGAGUAAACCAACCGCGGAGCGGGGCUGGGGGCGGCAGCACGCUGAGCCGAAGAAUCAAAGCAAAGGAGAAAACAACAGCAAAACUCUAUUACAUAAGCCUCAAGAUUACAGACCCUACAGGAGAACACUGUGACCAAGAUGACGCUGUGCAGUCCUGACAUCACUUGGCCUCCAGCCUGGUUCAAUUUGCCUAGAGAGAUGUCCAAUACCCACAUACACCACCAGAGGGAGCCAAAUCCUACAAACUUGACUCAGCCUCCAGAGACCUUAAGUGUCUUAUUUGGAUCCGGACUCUCUUCAAAAAGAUUGCCUUGCAUAAACAUUUUGCCAUGAUAGCUCUUUCUAGGAAAUAGAUCUGACCUCCCACUUCUCUGUCUCACACCUUCAAAGGGUACGGAGCAUGACACACCUCCUUCCACAGGCACCUCGACUUUCCUAGUCUCCCAGCAUCCCCUUUUCCCCAUGCUUCCAUUUCUCUAACAUGCUGUCUCUUCUGUCCCUGUUACCCAUCAUCCUUCCCCAGUCCACUCUGUUCAACCACAAGCCAUACUUCUUAAACCACAUCUCAGCUAACUCCUAACCUUCUUGUUCCUCUACCAACCAUGACAAAAACUGUAUCUUGUGUUUCAAGUGAACAUCUCCAGCUCUCGGAGGCACUGAAAGGUCCCAGGGGACAAACCCUGCUGUAUAGGUGUGUACAUGCCCAGCCCUGCCAGGGAAUAAACUCUUGUGUGCUAACCUCAGGGCUCCUAAUUAAAGCCAUCCACCUGCGGCUCAUUUUGAGUGGCACCUUCAGAGGAUUGGAAGCAGAGUUCAUACAGAUACUUUAAAUUCUUCACUCCAAGCUCAGAUUCAACUUAAAACAUGUUGCAAAUCAAGCCAAGAUGGUGGCCCAUGUCUACAGCAUCAACACUUGGAGGUAUUAGCUGGAGGCUCAGUAGUUCAAGGUCAGCCUUGGCUGCACAGUGAAUUUGAGGCCAGCCUCGCCUAUGUAAGACCUGGUGUCAUUAGCCCUUACACAUACCUCCUCCCUGCAAACACCCCAUAAUAACCAGUUUCUAGCUGAAGACACUGUAUCAGACUUACCAUCUUACUUAAGUAGAGGAUGAAGGAGUACAGGGAACCAGAUGUACUUUCCAGAGGCGGGGCAUCUGCUGGCCGCUCUGCAGUUCUCUCUUGUUGCUUUUCUAUAUCAUCAGCCCCGACAGGACCACCUUCGGGUACAAAACCUGAAAGGGGGCAACAGACAACAUACUGUCUUUUAUGAUUUAAAAGAGUAAUUUUUCUCUUCAUUUAAAUAUUCAGAGUGCCCUCUAAAUAUUAGUCACUAAGUAUCAUAGUUUGAUAUGCCUGGCCCAGGGAGUGGCACUAGUUGAAGGUGUGGCCCUACUGGAGUGGGCGUGUCACUGUGGGAGUGGGCUUUAAGACCCUCAUCCUGGCUUCCUGGAAGUCAGUCUUCUCCUAGCAGCCUGAAGAUGAAGAUGUAGAACUCUCAGCUCCUCCUGCACCAUGCCUGCCUGGAUGCGGUCAUGCUCCUGCUUUGUUGAUAAUGGACUGAACCUCUGAACCUGUAAGCCAACCCCAAUUAAAUGUUGUCUUCAUAAGAGUUGUUUUGGUCAUGGUGUCUGUUCACAGCAGUGAAACCCUAACUAAGAUACCAAGCAUAGAACAUUUGAGAGCCCUAAGGAAAAUUACACAGAGCAAAGCAAACCUUCUGGGAUCAUAACUGGAUCCAUCAGACCCUUCAGUUAUAAAAUGAGAUCAUUUCCAGUCUGCUUCUAAGUGCCCCAUCCUGUCUCCUAUCCAUUCAGGGAGACUGAAAACAAAACCCCAAACUUACACAUUCUCCAAAGGGCUGGGGUUGGGCGGAGGGGGUUUGCCAGGCAAGGCAUGCUUUUAAUUCCUGGACUCAGGAAGCAGAGGCAAAAGGAUGGCUAUGAGUUCAAGGCUAACCUGUUCUAUAGCAACCAACACAAGGAAAACCAUACAGACACAAUCACAGUCAGCAAACUCUGACUUGGUGAUGGCAGAACACUGUAUUAGAAACUUUAAGAGAGCUGGAAAAGAAUGAGUUCAGGGCCCAACAAGAUGGCUCAGUAAGAGUGCUUGUGGCCGAACUUAAUGACCUCAGUUUGGUUCCUGCAACCUAUAUGUCAGGAGAACUCUGACUCCUGAAAGAGUCUUGCAGAUAGACUACACUAAGGCUUAGUGUGGCUGGCAUGUAACUGAUACUUAAUACUUAGUGUACGGACAGGUGACCACGACAUAAAAUAUAGUAAAUGCCAGGAAGGAUGGAAAGAAUUUCUUCCAGAGUGGGAAAUGGCUUGAGGCUUUUGUGAAGGAAGGAGAUCCAUUUAUACCCGAGAAGAUUCUACAUAAGGAAGUGAUGGGACAGGGAUGGAUUUCAGCUUGCGUUACAUGAGCCUGGCAUGUGCCAUCAACAGCAGUUAGUGAGAGGCUGGGCUGCACCCUCUAGGGGUCUCUCCCAACCUUAAAACCCGGUUCACUAUUGACCUAUGACUGACAAUGGGUGACAUUUUCCCAGUUAGGUCAGCAUCAUAGCACCAGAAUUGUGGGCAGUGACCCUGGAAGUCUUGCCUAGAAAGGUGGCUGGGCAUUGUGUGGGGGUGGCGGGAUCUAAAGCAGACAUCCUGUUCCUACUCCUGUAAGCACAACUUUUCCAAGUCCUGAAGGUUUUGAGCAAAAGAGCAAUGAGUGUCAAUGGUACCUGACUUGUUUUCAGUAAAUAGGACCUUUCUAAAUUAAAAAGGAGUUGGAGAACGUUACACAAGACGAUGGUGUCCUCUGGGAUACGGGAGACUCCUAAUGUAUGAUUCCUUCUCAGCUCAGCUAAAGUUCUCUCCACUGUGACAUUUCAUACACUUUGUGUAUUCCCUGGAGAGCAGGGGAUGUUGUUACUCUAGUGACACUGAACCCUUCCUUUCUACAGGCUAAGGCUACAGCCGUGCUUCAUGUUCUCUCUCUCUCUCUCUCUCUCUCUCUCUCUCUCUCUUUUCUCUCUCUCUCUGGAGCUGGCAGUCGGUGGUAACACUAACCUACCACGCAGGAGGCCUUGAGUGUGAUCCCCGGCACUGGACCACCCCGCAAAAGAAACCCCAGUAAUGGCAUUCUUAUGAUAGCAAAAUAGCACAGCGAGGGCAUCUGGUUUUCUGUGAAAUGAGAGUGAGCUAUACAACAAUUAGCAAACCACUGAUGCCAUUAUUGAGGAUGUUUAGAACAAAAACAAAUAAUAACUUUUUAUCUGUCACCAAUAGUUCCUGUGUGCUGAAAUGAAAUAUCUACAAUUAUGUCAGUCAGCUCAAGACUGUCAUUCCCUCAUUGUUUCCUAAAAGCAUACCAUGGGAAGAUGCCUGGACCUUCACAGUAUUUUUUUUUUUUUUUUUUUGGUUCUUUUUUUCGGAGCUGGGGACCGAACCCAGGGCCUUGCGCUUCCUAGGCAAGCGCUCUGCCACUGAGCCAAAUCCCCAACCCC
Rattus norvegicus (Norway rat) is the source of this 3528-nucleotide long non-coding RNA. RefSeq lists it as uncharacterized. NCBI's taxonomy places the organism in Eukaryota, Metazoa, Chordata, Mammalia, Rodentia, Muridae. The record is from RefSeq and is a predicted model, not a curated record.